This 987-nucleotide ribosomal RNA is filed under the name Triticum aestivum (bread wheat). RNAcentral's name for it is "partial small subunit ribosomal RNA". Lineage: Eukaryota; Viridiplantae; Streptophyta; Magnoliopsida; Poales; Poaceae. The record is from RNAcentral.
AUGCGAGGGCGAGGGCGACCACCGGAGGCGCCGUCGGGAUCUCCUUCGGAUCCCGCUGUUUUGCCGUCACCGCUGCGGAUCGCCCCAGCCUCGGCACCCUCCUCGGCUCAGCCCGAUCCCAUCCAGCGAGAUCAGAUCGUGGCUGGGUGUGAGGCGGACGUGCGUGCGGAGUGGGGGUUGCGUUGGGCUGUGCGUUUCCGAGAUGGCCAUGGAGAUUGGAUCGCCGGACGUCUGCACCAUUCGCCGGCAUCUCGAUGGACGACGCUGCUGGAUCUGGACAACGACGUCCGCACCGGCGAUUAUGUGACGAUAGGCGACCAGGUGAGGGUUGGUUCUAAUUUGCGGAUUGAUGUCUAUGACGUGGUUGUGGAGCAUCGUAUGCAGAUGGUUGCGGAUGUGGCAAGCCCGAUCGAGCUUCUCGACUCGUCCUCGGAGUCUGACGGCGGGGAGCUCGGUCGGCGGGGGGAGCCUGGGGGCGCGACCUCCGUGAUCCACGCGGGGCCGUCGCCUGGCUCAUCCGGAGAUCGACGGCGGGUGGGGGGCCGGUUUUGGGCACUCGCUGAUGCCGACGAUGAAGACGAGGAUGAGGAGGCCGAAGCGGCGCAACCUUCUCCAGCGUCGCCGACCCCUUCCGAUCUGCUGUGUGAGUUUUUGUGUGCAGAGUACGAUGAAGAUGAGGUCGCUUCUACGGUCAACAACAUCUUGCCCGUUGAUGAUCCGGCUCGGGUUGGGCUUCAUGCGAGGGAGACCAAGGAGAUGUUACGUCGGGUGGUUCACCGGAGAACGGCGGCGUCGGUGAUCCGGCCGUGGAAGGGUCCGCUACCUAAGGUUGUAUUCCGUGCUACGGCGCUGAUCCGUAUGUGGUCCUUACUCACUCCGACGGAGGCCAGGGAGCGUUUGGUUACUGGAUCUGUCCGUUGGGAGAUGGUAGCGCGGGAUAUCUUCAACCGGUUUGGAUGGCGGUCAUAUAAUAUGAUAGGCAAUUAG